RNAcentral lists this ribosomal RNA (422 nucleotides) under uncultured bacterium. Its description in RNAcentral is "bacterial SSU rRNA". It matches the Rfam family "Bacterial small subunit ribosomal RNA", at positions 362 to 775 of the family's 1533-position model. The record is from RNAcentral.
UCUUCCGCAAUGGACGAAAGUCUGACGGAGCAACGCCGCGUGAGAGAUGAAGGUUUUCGGAUCGUAAAACUCUGUUGUUAGGGAAGAACAUGUACCGUUCGAAUAGGGCGGUACCUUGACGGUACCUAACCAGAAAUCCACGGCUAAAUACGUGCCAGCUGCCGCGGUAAUACGUAGGUGGCAAGCGUUGUCCGGAAUUAUUGGGCGUAAAGCGCGCGCAGGCGGUUUCUUAAGUCUGAUGUGAAAGCCCCCGGCUCAACCGGGGAGGGUCAUUGGAAACUGGGGAACUUGAGUGCAGAAGAGGAGAGUGGAAUUCCACGUGUAGCGGUGAGGUGCGUAGAGAUGUGGAGGAACACCAGUGGCGAAGGCGACUCUCUGGUCUGUAACUGACGCUGAGGCGCGAAAGCGUGGGGAGCGAACAG